RNAcentral lists this long non-coding RNA (787 nucleotides) under Manihot esculenta (cassava). RNAcentral's name for it is "long non-coding RNA (MESC_LNC006812)". The record is from RNAcentral. Lineage: Eukaryota; Viridiplantae; Streptophyta; Magnoliopsida; Malpighiales; Euphorbiaceae.
CGGGUCCUUCUAAUUCGAUGUCGGGAGCAUUACUCCCUCAUCACCAUCCAUCUCCUCUCUGAGCAGCCACCCAUCUCCUCUCUGGUUGGUCGGAAUAGCAAGACAGAAAGGAGUUCAGCAAAUCCGACGACCACAGCGUUAGAUUACUCCUUGAGGUCGGAUCCGUGCUCGAGCUUAGAUCUGUGAUCGAGGUCGGAUCCGUGUUUGAAGCGUUACCUUUCUUCCUGGGUUUUGGCUUCUGGAAUCAGUGUUCUGUAGAGAAAUAUUUCUGGGUUUGGUUCUUUUCCAUUCAAUGCGCUUUUGCUUGUUUAGGGAGAUCCUGUAUAUGCUGAGAAGAUAAGCCGCGCUUGUUUCACUGGGCUAAUAUUCGAGCAGGGAUUGCUAGAGGAACUCAAACUUAAAGAAGAUGAGCUGCAAGCCAGAUGGCAAAAGCAACUGCAGGAGAUGGAGAAAACCAGUGAAUCUCCUUCUCAACAAGAAAGCACUAGGAAAUCCACUCCCUAAAACUUCAUAGAGGUGACCCCUUGUCUGGAACCCGCAAUGUGUUGUGGAAGCAACCUCGAAUCCGUAAUCUAGUUGCACGACCUGGAUGCCAGCGGUGAUUUGAAAGACUUUAAUAUGUCACUGUGAGUUUCUCUGCCACAGAGCUUGGAAAUAGGGAAUCUCAAGUAAAAUUUCAAUUUUCAAUUAAUGUGUGGACCUUUCAUGUCUUUUCUUAGAGAAAUUUGAGACCUGUAGUCUUUUCAUGAUUUUAUUCAUUGAAGUAUGGGAAUAUAUUAAAAAAAAG